Molecule: long non-coding RNA, 5333 nt
Filed under: Nicotiana tabacum (common tobacco)
Lineage: Eukaryota; Viridiplantae; Streptophyta; Magnoliopsida; Solanales; Solanaceae
Description: long non-coding RNA (NTAB_LNC000372)
Source: RNAcentral
ACAACUUGACACCAUCCAUCAAACAAUCUUAUACGAUCUCGACCCAUGCUCUGCGAUCGCGAUUAAGAAGACCAAAUACCUAGAAUUCUGCAUAACCAACAAUGCAAAAUGAAGGAAAAAUAGUCUGAAAUCAAUCUGAUACACGACCAAGCCCCUCGAGACCCUAUCCAAAUAUGCCAAACAAGUCCCAAAAGACAUAAAUAAGCUAUUACAAUUUCUGGAACCACAAUCCGAAUCCGAUAUCCAAAAAGGUCAAACUUAUGAAUUUUCCAAACCUUCAAAUUUUCAACCUUCCCCAAUUAGUGCCAAAUUCUUCUAGGAACAUACAAAUGCAAAUUCGGGCAUAAGUCCGAGUUCAAAAUCACCAUCCGGACCUAACGGAACCAUCAAAACUCCAAUAUGAGGUCAAAUACUAAAAAUUUAAACUUGGUCAACUCUUCCAAUUUAAAACUUAAACCAUGAAAUUCAUUUUUCUAAAUCAAUUCCGAAUAACCUGAAAACCGAAACCGACGAUUCACAUAAGUCAUAAUACAUCAUAUGGAGUUGCUCAUGCCAAUAAACUACCAAGUGAAGUACAAAUUCUCAAAACGAUCGAUCGGGUCGUUACAUCAAAUGCUCAAACACCGCCAACAAUUCAAUAUUUGCUAUUAAAUAUCCCAACUACAUCAAAACAAACGCAAAAAGAUUCAUAAAUAUCUAUUUAGGCUUCACAAUUGGCAACAAGCCUUCAACCAUUCCAAAUUAUCCAAUAGGUUCACCCAUUAGCCUAUUCAAUUCUAUUCUUAUCAUUUAAUACUCAUUUGGAGUCAUUAAUGAUACUACGUUAGUUACCCAACAUCGUCAAGUCUCUAUUCAUUGUCUUCUCCAACAAAACCCUAGAUUCAAGAACUAGUAUUAUAUCUUAUCCAUAGAGAUGGAAAAUAGAGCGGGGCAGGGCGGGAUAGGGGAGGGCAGGGAAAUCCUUAAUGGGGCAGGGCAGGGCAAGACAGGGCAAAGUCUUAAUGGGACCGGGCAGGGCGUGGCAGAUCAAAACACAUUUUCAAAAAAUAGUUAAUGGAUCAGGGCAGGUAUAGGGUAGAAUUUUAGCUGCAAAUUCAUUUACUGCUUUAUCAAUCUUUAAGGUCAACACUAAUGAAAACAUAACUUGUUAUGGUACAAUAGUUUUACUCCUUAGAAAACAAGAAUACCUUUCUACAUUUAUAUAGAAUUGUAGUAGCUCUAAGCGAUAAUCUAUAUAGGAAUUUUCUUUUGUAGCCAAAGUUGUGUAAUUCCCUAUUUUGUUUCCACCUUCUUUUAGUCGUUAUUUUUGGUCUUAUGAAAUAUUCUUCAGAUUAAAUGUCCCCUUACUAAGAAUUUUAACUGCACUCAAAUUAGGAACCCAUAAAAUUUGUGGUAUUCUAUUAACUUCUUCUUAUAGCUUUUUGAUUUUUCAUUAAAUAAGAUAAAAAGGUUUAUUGAUUUAUGUCUAUGUGAUCUCCAUCGCAAAUCGUGAUCCAGAAGUUUCUCUUACCCAAAUUUUUAUCAACAUGUUUAACUUGACUACACCCGUCCUAAGUAAAUCAUCUUAUGUUUAUUAUAAUUCAAAGCACAUAAUAAAUGAAUAACCUAAAUAUUGAAUGUGGAUAAGUUAUUUUCUUGUUCAAUAAGGAUGAAACCAUAUGAUACAAUUCAUUUUCAUAUGUUACUGAGAGCAUAACAUCCCCAUUAUUUAUUGGAUUGAUAUAGUCUUCAGUAGCUAUUUUAGUCUUUAAUUUUUUACAUACUAAACAAUCAACUCAUAGAACCUCUUCUAUAGUGAGUCCAUCUAACUGCUUUGUAUUUGUUCUUGGAGUGGAACAUUAAUACAAGGGGAACUUAGUCUUUGAUAAAUUAUAUGUCAUUGGUAAAAAUUAUAUUUUAUUCAAUCAAUAUGCAUAAACAACUAAAUAAUAUUUUAACUAUUUCAAUAGAAAGUUGAAAAGGCAAAAGAAAUUAAAAUCAUAAUACAAAAUAAAAAUAAAGAGAAAAAAAAUAAAAAAUGUCCAAAUGGGGCAGGGCGAGGCAGGGCUUAAUAGGGCGGGACUGGGCAUGGCAAAUUUUUUACAAAAGGCUAAAUGGGGCAAGGCAGGGUCAAGGCUUGUCCUGCCCCGCCACACCCUGCCCUGCCCUAUUUACAUCCCUACUUAUCCAAAUAGUGAUUCUCGAUUCAAUUCGUUCAUAAAUUAGGUUAUCAAUCUAUAUGAGUCAUUAGAAACUCAAGACAUAUCCAUUUAUAUCGAUUCAUCACUAUUCAUCUUUUUCUUUGCCUAAAAUAUUAUUUUCAAGAACCCACCCUUAGAGUUCAUACAAUAUUCCGUUACAACUUCAAAUAAAACUAAUAAACAUGUCACCCACACUUCAAUAUAUCAUAUAUGUGAAGCUCAAGUGAAGGGAUUACCUCUUGGUGGAAGAAUCUCACUUUUUCUCUUUUUGGUGUUCUUGAAGAUUCACCACAAAUGCAUUUUAAAUACUUACCUUAAAAUGUGUUGACGAGGGAUGUGCUCCUACUUCUCUCUAAGUUCAAGACCCUUGUCCAAAAUUCCAUCUCAUGCUCUCUCCUCAAAAUAGUCACUUUUAUAAUUUUGAUGGCAUGCAUAACUACGCAUAUCUCCAACAUAGCUACGCUUCCUUCCUCUUCAGCCCCCCUUCAUUUGAAUACCUUGCUGAAAUCCGCUAUGCCCAGGGCAGCGUAGCUACUACGUGGCUGUUGUGGUACCCUUUAGUAAAAAAUUAUAACUUCUUGUAAAAAUAUCCAAAUGACAAACGGUUUGAAACAUUGCAAACUAGACUCAUAGUUCUUUAGUUUGAUAGGUCAUACACUACAUAAAUCUUCAUAUAUUGGUAGUUGUACUCGUUUGAAUUUAGAUCUCGUGCCAACUCAUUUAAAACUUUAGCCCAUUAUAUAAUUUCAAACUUGACUUAGUUUUAGGGAUCUUCUUAGACCAUAAACCAUUCUUAAUGUACCUCAAAUAUAUAUUAUCAUGAUCAAAUGAUAUCCUUCAUAUUAUUAGUCUUGUUCAUACCUAAGUUAAUAUAUUAACACCUAUCAAUCUUCUUAAUGGUCUUAAACACUUCGAAAUUUUUCGGGGUGUUACAUUAACAAAAAAAUCGUUAUGAAUGAAAUAAAUACUUAGUAGUAAAGUUUUAAAAAUAAUAUCAAAUAGUGAAACAAAUUAAGUAUUUAGUAUUGUUUUAAUCAGGAAUAAGAUUAUUAAAAAAUUGGCAGUAUGUACCAGUACAACAAAAUAUACUGCAACAAAUCACUAAGUUUAUCCUUGAAAAUUAGGCACAUUGGAUGAACUGCCAUCGGGAGCUGAAUUACCACCGCUUCCCAAAUCGACUGAAGGAUAUUUACGAUGAUUGUAUCCUGUUUAGGAACAUAUAUCUCAUUUAUGCACAUAAAUGUGUCACACCUCCUUUUUACUACCCCGGAAGGGUAUAAGGGAGUUUUUUCCAAUUUAAGUAACAACAGAAACGAGAUUAUUUAUUUAUUAUUCAGAGUCGCCACUUGGGAUGAUUUAUGGUGUCCUAAGUCACCGGUUUUAAAUCCUGAAUUGAGAAAAGAUUGACUCUGUUUUUUAGUCCGCGAACACAGAAAUCCGGGUAAGGAAUUCUGUUAACCUGAGAGAAGGUGUUAGGCAUUUUCAGAUUCCGUGGUUCUAGCACGGUCGCUCAACUAUUACUAUUGGCCUAAUUAUAUGAUUUUAAAAUAUUCUUAAACCUAUGUGCAUUUUUAACCUUUUAGCCGCUUUUAAUUAUGCAAAGAAUUAAUUCAAAGUUAUUUAAAACAUAUCGCAAGCCACGCUAUAUGAAAUGCACUCAUGGUUCACGACACGCUCUAUUUAACCUUGUUGGAAAUUAGAACCGGGCCACAUGAAAUGUACCCACAGAUUUAUAACAAUUGUGUAUCGCAACUACGUCACGGGAAUCGUACCCGUAAUCACGAUGAUUUUAUUAUAAAUGCACCUAAAGUAAACUACUAUGUUUGUGAAUUGUGUAAUUCUCAAUUUGAUGAUUGUGAGCAAGAAAGGCCCGGGAUUAUGAAGUACUUUUACUAAAAGAGAUUUCAUGCAUUCAAUCCAGCCCAAUUCCUAAACAUGUAAGUAAUUUUUAUCACUAAUGGGCUAGGAAUUUCCAAAUUUAGAAGUUUAACACAUGCUCUGUACUUUGUCACAAAAACACAAUCCUAUGCAUGUACCGUCUCUAUGAAAAUGUCUCAGCAGUAUAAAGAAUCUCAUUCAACAACGAAAUUAGUAAUGCAGUCACGGCUUUAAACUAAAUGGAUCAAAAAGAGUUCACUUAAUAAAUCUAUCUUCCUAUUCCUCACUUGCCUUUUAACAUAAACCAACACCCAGAUUUCGUGAUUAACUCCAACACAAGCUAAUUUGUAAACAGAUUUUAUAAUUCAAUUUAAUCAACUACGGAGAUUAGCCCUUAAAAUAGACUUGAAAAAACUAUCUUAUUAUUGACCACUUUAGAUUUCAAAAGGAAGAAACAUUAAAAUCUUAAGCUAAGAAAGCUAGUAAGGAAGAUACCCACCAACACAAUGUUCAAACGAAUUGAGUCAGAACAAUCAAACAUAAGCUUUCUCCAUUUUUUAACAAUGAAAUAUAUGAUAGAAAUACCGCAAAUAACAGAGGGGAAAAGAAAAAUGAACCUGAAAUGAUCUUUUUGGCUAACAAAAAUUUCAGCAACUACACAAAUGAAGUUCACCGUAGCUAUGACCGGAUCUCGAAAUGGCGAUUAAAAAAAUCAAACAGAAUCAGGAUCGGAAACUCUGGACAUGACAACCUCGACAAACUCGGCCCAAUCUAACCUUCUCAUUUUCGAAUUUAGAUUUGUUCGUUCCUUGUUGAAGAGUGGGUGAGCAGGUAAAGUUCAGGGGAUGGCCUCUUUUGAUUUUUCUCUAGGUCUCUCUGUUGGAAGAAGGUCUAAUGGCUGAUGCUUCAGCUUUUGUUUAUUGUGUAUCGAUCCCCUCUUUUUGUGAAGAAGAAGACGUUAGGGAGGGGGUCAUUUGUAUUCUUGUUCGGCAUUCAAAAUCCGCAGGAGAAGAAGUCCUUCUUCUGUGAAGAAGAAGGCAUUGGGGGAGGUCUCCUUGUGAACUUCGGUGCCUGAUUUCUUAGGUCCUAGGGUCUUGCGUCUGAUUUAGAGCCUUUUGGCUUUUUGUGUGUCUUUGAUCUUUUCAGAGAAAAACAACGGAUUAGUCUGUGUGUCCCCAUCUAGGUCUAGAGUCUUGUUUGCUUUAUGUGAUGACCCUAUGUUUUGAGGCCUUAAAAACCUCUUUUAGCAUCACCUCGAUUUGCAUGCACUGUCCG